This 497-nucleotide ribosomal RNA is filed under the name uncultured bacterium. Its description in RNAcentral is "partial 16S ribosomal RNA". It matches the Rfam family "Bacterial small subunit ribosomal RNA", at positions 28 to 507 of the family's 1533-position model. The record is from RNAcentral.
GAUGAACGCUGGCGGCGUGCCUAAUACAUGCAAGUCGAGCGAACAGACGAGGAGCUUGCUCCUCUGACGUUAGCGGCGGACGGGUGAGUAACACGUGGAUAACCUACCUAUAAGACUGGGAUAACUUCGGGAAACCGGAGCUAAUACCGGAUAAUAUAUUGAACCGCAUGGUUCAAUAGUGAAAGACGGUUUUGCUGUCACUUAUAGAUGGAUACGCGCCGCAUUAGCUAGUUGGUAAGGUCACGGCUUUCCAAGGGAACCAUGCGUGAGCGACGUAAGGGGGGGAUCGGCGACACUGGAGCUGAGACGCGGUCCAGACGCCUGCGGGAGGCAGCAGUAGGGAAUCUUCCGCAAUGGUCGAAAGCAUUACGGAGCGACGGCGCGUGAGUGAUGAAGGUCUUCCGAGCGUAAAGCUCUGUUAUGAGGGAAAAACAAAUGUGUAAGUAACUAUGCACGGCGUGACGGUACCUAAUCAGAAAGCCACGGCUAACUACGUG